Molecule: ribosomal RNA, 253 nt
Filed under: uncultured bacterium
Lineage: Bacteria
Description: partial 16S ribosomal RNA
Rfam family: Bacterial small subunit ribosomal RNA
Source: RNAcentral
UACAUGGGGUGCAAACGUUGCUCGGAAUUAUUGGGCGUAAAGCGCACGUAGGCGGCUUGUUAAGUCGGAUGUGAAAUCCCUCGGCUCAACUGAGGAAGUGCAUCCGAAACUGGCAAGCUUGAGUACGAAAGAGGGUCGCGGAAUUCCCGGUGUAGAGGUGAAAUUCGUAGAUAUCGGGAGGAACACCGGUGGCGAAGGCGGCGACCUGGGUCGAUACUGACGCUGAGGUGCGAAAGCGUGGGGAGCGAACAGG